This 201-nucleotide ribosomal RNA is filed under the name Triticum aestivum (bread wheat). Its description in RNAcentral is "partial small subunit ribosomal RNA". Lineage: Eukaryota; Viridiplantae; Streptophyta; Magnoliopsida; Poales; Poaceae. The record is from RNAcentral.
AUGUGGAUAAAGGGGUCCAAGACUGACUGGAUGGUAAUGAGCAGAAACUGGGGUGCCAACUGGCAGAGCAAUGCCUACCUCAACGGCCAGAGCAUGUCCUUCCGGGUACAGACUGACGACGGUCGGGUCGUCACGGCUGACAAUGUUGCCCCGUCCAACUGGUGGUUCGGUGGCACCUACACUUCGUGGCAGCAGUUCUAA